UACGAAGGGGGCUAGCGCUGCUCGGAAUUACUGGGCGUAAAGCGCACGUAGGCGGCUUCUUAAGUCGGUGGUGAAAUCCUGGAGCUCAACUCCAGAACUGCCUUCGAUACUGGGAAGCUUGAGUCCGGGAGAGGUGAGUGGAACUGCGAGUGUAGAGGUGAAAUUCGUAGAUAUUCGCAAGAACACCAGUGGCGAAGGCGGCUCACUGGCCCGGUACUGACGCUGAGGUGCGAAAGCGUGGGGAGCAAACAGG
Molecule: ribosomal RNA, 253 nt
Filed under: uncultured bacterium
Lineage: Bacteria
Description: partial 16S ribosomal RNA
Rfam family: Bacterial small subunit ribosomal RNA
Source: RNAcentral